Molecule: unclassified non-coding RNA, 21 nt
Filed under: Mus musculus (house mouse)
Lineage: Eukaryota; Metazoa; Chordata; Mammalia; Rodentia; Muridae
Description: oocyte_clustered_small_RNA11939
Source: RNAcentral
AUGUUGGAAUGGCCUGUUUGC